UGAUAAUAAAUAUUUGGUUUGAAAACAGCCUCGACGAUCCAGAAGACUUGCUAAAUUUAAGGCCUAAGCCUGAAAAUUCUUUGAAGUUGGUUCUGAAGCCUAUUCCCAAUUUGCUAAAUUCUUAGUUCUUGGUCGAUCAGGCUCUGAUUAUAGUGGCGGAACGAUGCACUCAUAGGAAGAUCAAAGAUACGGACGAAAAAAUGAGCAGAUAACGAGAGGAAAAUGUUCCUUCUGAGACAAUUUUGAACGCCGGUCAACACCCAUUUUGAUCUAGAAAAUGUUUUCCAACAUCCUCCCCAAUGCUGCGUCCGAGGGAUUCUCUCAGAUUUAAAAUGUCUUUAAUUCGGGCUAUAUAUGGUGGCAUAGCCACCGGAUUCGUCUCCAGUCAGGCGCCGGAAAAAAAAAAGCGUUUAAAACUUUCGAAUUGUUUGCUUUAAUAGUUGCGGAAAUGUCUGUGUCCAUGUACAUGUUCACAAAUUUAUUACAUUUUUCAUUUUGCAGCGACAUCUGUCAGAUAAUAUUAAAAGCUCAGGCUCUCAAGUGCGGUUCGCUCUGCUGGAGUGCUUCAAAGAACACAACACUAUGAACCUGCCGAAUCCUAAUAGAAGUAGAAGAAACGCUGGCAAAGCAAUUGAUUUACGACAACAUGAUGUUGAAGUCUGGUUUUAAAAAAUAAGAGCUCGGUUUUCGCAGCACCGCUUCAAAAGUUCGUAGUCCGCUUCUUUGCACGAAGGCCUUCGGUUGAGUUUGAUCGCUCUCUAAAUCCAUGGCUGGAUGAACGAGCUGCCCAUGUUUGCGAAAUCUUAAUUCAAGUGUUGGCUAGGGUUAAUAAAAUCGUGAAAAGGCGGGGAUUUUUUUGGAGGGUGAUUCAUUUUGUCAUUUUAGAGACGGUAAAUUAGGGUAUUUGUGGCAUAGAAAACUAGACAUAAAUCUUAGAUAAUUUAGGGUAAUGGUGGCAAUUAUGCUUUAUGGUGAAAGCGUAUAAAUAAAUCUUAGGUAAUCUAGGAUAAUGGUGGCAAUUAGGAUCUAUGAUGAAUAAGCCUUAUUUGUAAGGAAGCCACUAAAGAAUGAAGGCAUUGGGUCUUUCUUUCACUUCUGAA
Long non-coding RNA from Cryptomeria japonica (Japanese cedar), 1100 nucleotides. RefSeq lists it as uncharacterized. The record is from RefSeq and is a predicted model, not a curated record. The transcript has 4 exons. NCBI's taxonomy places the organism in Eukaryota, Viridiplantae, Streptophyta, Pinopsida, Cupressales, Cupressaceae.